AGUACGAGAGGACCGGGAAUGACGCACCUCUGGUGUUCCGGUUGUCGUGUCAGCGGCAGCGCCGGGUAGCUAAGUGCGGAAGGGAUAAGAGCUGAAAGCAUCUAAGCUCUAAGCCCAUCCCAAGAUAAGACUUCCCCGAGGGGCCAAGUAGACCACUUGGUUGAUAGGUCGGAUGUGUAAGCGCAGCAAUGCGUUGAGCUAACCGAUACUAAUUGCCCGAAAGAGUUUGUUUA
This 233-nucleotide ribosomal RNA is filed under the name Opitutales bacterium. RNAcentral's name for it is "partial 23S ribosomal RNA". It matches the Rfam family "Bacterial large subunit ribosomal RNA", at positions 2680 to 2925 of the family's 2925-position model. The record is from RNAcentral. Lineage: Bacteria; Pseudomonadati; Verrucomicrobiota; Opitutia; Opitutales.